UUUUGAUUUUUGCCACUUACAUGUCAUGAUUUCAUUUUAUUUUUUUGGAUAUUUUCUUUAUUUACAUUUCAAAUGUUAUCCCCUUUCCUGAUUUCCCUUCCAAAAAUCCCUUCCCCCUAUCCCCUUGACAACCCAUCCACUCCCACUUCCUGGCCCUGGCAUUCCCCUACACUAGGGCAUAGAAUCUUCACAGGACCAAGGGCCUCUCCUUCCAUUGAUGUCUGACUAGGCCACUCAUCCUCUCCUACAUAUGCAGCUAGAGCCAUGGAUCCCUCUAUGUGUUUUCUUUGGUUGGUGGUUUAGUCUCAGGGAGCUCUGGGGGUACUGGUUAGUUCAUAUUGUUGUUCCUUCUAUGGGGCUGCAAACCACUUCAGCUCCUUGAGUCCUUUCCACAGAAUAUAUUUUUAAACGCAUAGAAUAAAACAAGAUUACAAAGGAAAACAAUCAUGUUGAAACAGCUGUGAAGCGGGGAAGCCGAACUGACAGUACAAACAUUUCAGACUACCCAUUUAAAAAAACAAGGUGAGAACUUGUCAACUAACACUUCAAGUAAACUACAAUAAACUUUCUGUGUGUGCAUAUUUUUCAGUUCUUGUUUAUUCUGCAAAUUUGAUGGUGUGCUCUAAUUACUGAACCGUGAAUGUUAAUGUGCUAAAAAAAAAAAGUAGGAAAUGGUUUUUAAAUGAUGAGAGAUAAAUUAGCAUAAACAAAUGUAUUAAAUAAUAAAACCAUAUCCAAAAGGAGCAUGUCUUGACUGCUGAUUGAUGCUGGAGGGCCAGCCCACUG
This 786-nucleotide long non-coding RNA is filed under the name Mus musculus (house mouse). Its description in RNAcentral is "long non-coding RNA chr18:52410654-52411440". The record is from RNAcentral. Lineage: Eukaryota; Metazoa; Chordata; Mammalia; Rodentia; Muridae.